RNAcentral lists this ribosomal RNA (397 nucleotides) under uncultured Neocallimastigomycetes. Its description in RNAcentral is "eukaryotic LSU rRNA". It matches the Rfam family "Eukaryotic large subunit ribosomal RNA", at positions 127 to 516 of the family's 3401-position model. Lineage: Eukaryota; Fungi; Neocallimastigomycota; Neocallimastigomycetes. The record is from RNAcentral.
GGUUUCCCUUUACGAAUUGUAGUUUAAAGAAGUGUUUUCUGUUGAGGUUUUGGUAAAAGUUCUUUGGAAUAGGACAUCAUAGAGGGUGAGAAUCCCGUAUUUGACCUUUACUUUCAACUUUGUGAUACACUUUCAAAGAGUCGGAUUGUUUGGGAAUGCAGUCCAAAAUGGGUGGUAAAUUUCAUCUAAAGCUAAAUAUUGGCGAGAGACCGAUAGCGAACAAGUACCGUGAGGGAAAGAUGAAAAGAACCUUGAAAAGAGAGUUAAACAGUACGUGAAAUUGUCAAAAGGGAAGCGUUUGACACCAGUGUUGUUUUUCUGAAAAUCAAUUAAAGAACUGUUUAUGCUAAGCUGUUUAGACUUUAUCAGCUAACUGUUUAGUUUUGAGCUUUUCUUU